CAGCCGCCACGGUAAUACGAAGGGGGCUAGCGUUGCUCGGAAUCACUGGGCGUAAAGGGUGCGUAGGCGGGCCUUUAAGUCAGGGGUGAAAUCCUGGAGCUCAACUCCAGAACUGCCUUUGAUACUGAAGAUCUUGAGUUCGGGAGAGGUGAGUGGAACUGCGAGUGUAGAGGUGAAAUUCGUAGAUAUUCGCAAGAACACCAGUGGCGAAGGCGGCUCACUGGCCCGAUACUGACGCUGAGGCACGAAAGCGUGGGGAGCAAACAGGAUUAGAUACCCCAGUAGUCCCUGUCUCUUAUAC
This 301-nucleotide ribosomal RNA is filed under the name uncultured bacterium. RNAcentral's name for it is "partial 16S ribosomal RNA". It matches the Rfam family "Bacterial small subunit ribosomal RNA", at positions 509 to 807 of the family's 1533-position model. The record is from RNAcentral.